AACGAACGCUGGCGGCAGGCCUAACACAUGCAAGUCGAGCGAGGACUUCGGUUCUAGCGGCGGACGGGUGAGUAACGCGUGGGAAUGUGCCCUUCUCUACGGAAUAGCCCUGGGAAACUGGGAGUAAUACCGUAUACGCCCUAUUGGGGAAAGAUUUAUCGGAGAAGGAUCAGCCCGCGUUGGAUUAGGUAGUUGGUGGGGUAAUGGCCUACCAAGCCGACGAUCCAUAGCUGGUUUGAGAGGAUGAUCAGCCACACUGGGACUGAGACACGGCCCAGACUCCUACUGGAGGCAGCAGUGGGGAAUCUUAGACAAUGGGGGCAACCCUGAUCUAGCCAUGCCGCGUGAGUGAUGAAGGCCUUAGGGUUGUAAAGCUCUUUCAGCUGGGAAGAUAAUGACGGUACCAGCAGAAGAAGCCCCGGCUAACUCCGUG
RNAcentral lists this ribosomal RNA (433 nucleotides) under uncultured bacterium. RNAcentral's name for it is "partial 16S ribosomal RNA". It matches the Rfam family "Bacterial small subunit ribosomal RNA", at positions 29 to 507 of the family's 1533-position model. The record is from RNAcentral.